GAUGAACGCUGGCGGCGUGCCUAAUACAUGCAAGUCGAGCGAACAGACGAGGAGCUUGCUCCUCUGACGUUAGCGGCGGACGGGUGAGUAACACGUGGGUAACCUACCUAUAAGACUGGGAUAACUUCGGGAAACCGGAGCUAAUACCGGAUAAUAUAUUUAACCGCAUGGUUCAAUAGUGAAAGACGGUUUUGGUGUCACUUAUAGAUGGAUCCGCGCCGCAUUAGGUUGUUGGUAAGGUAACGGCUUACCAAGGCGACGGCGCGUAGCCGACGUGAGAGAGUGAUCGGCCGCACUAGAACGGAGACACGGUCCAUGCUCCUGAGGGAGGGAGCAGUAGCGUACCUUCGGCAACAGUGGGAAGCAUGGCGGAGCGGCGCGGCGUGAGUUGUGGCGGUCUUCGGUUCGGGAUGAUCUGUUAUUGGGGAAGAACAAAUGUGUAAGUAGAUAUACACUUCUUGACGGUACCUGGUCAGAAAGCCACGGCUAACUACGUG
Molecule: ribosomal RNA, 497 nt
Filed under: uncultured bacterium
Lineage: Bacteria
Description: partial 16S ribosomal RNA
Rfam family: Bacterial small subunit ribosomal RNA
Source: RNAcentral